UACGUAGGGGGCUAGCGUUGUCCGGAAUCAUUGGGCGUAAAGCGCGUGUAGGCGGCCCGGUAAGUCCGCUGUGAAAGUCGGGGGCUCAACCCUCGAAUGCCGGUGGAUACUGUCGGGCUAGAGUACGGAAGAGGCGAGUGGAAUUCCUGGUGUAGCGGUGAAAUGCGCAGAUAUCAGGAGGAACACCAAUUGCGAAGGCAGCUCGCUGGGACGUAACUGACGCUGAGACGCGAAAGCGUGGGGAGCGAACAGG
This 253-nucleotide ribosomal RNA is filed under the name uncultured bacterium. RNAcentral describes it as "partial 16S ribosomal RNA". It matches the Rfam family "Bacterial small subunit ribosomal RNA", at positions 524 to 776 of the family's 1533-position model. The record is from RNAcentral.